GUGUAAGUGGUGGAUGUUGGUGCAUUCACUCUAGUACUCUUUACUCUUGUCAGUUAAAAGCCUAUCUCCAAAACAUGACAGGAAUCUCUGCGUCCCGGUAGAUCAUAGGUUGUAUCAGCGUUGGAGAAGAGUUUCCAAAAGCCAAGACUCUUAAUAAACUUACCUGUGCUGAAAAACUGUGAACUGAAGAAACUUCAAAAGGAACUUCUUGAUACCAAUAAAACACUGGAUCUACCAGGACACCGAACAGAAGGGACUGCAUUGGUAUAC
Molecule: non-coding RNA, 270 nt
Organism: Pelobates cultripes (western spadefoot toad)
Lineage: Eukaryota; Metazoa; Chordata; Amphibia; Anura; Pelobatidae
Source: the annotation of a GenBank genome assembly